This is a long non-coding RNA of Prinia subflava (tawny-flanked prinia), 3467 nucleotides long. RefSeq lists it as uncharacterized. The transcript has 3 exons. The record is from RefSeq and is a predicted model, not a curated record. NCBI's taxonomy places the organism in Eukaryota, Metazoa, Chordata, Aves, Passeriformes, Cisticolidae.
UGAUGUGGCAAAAUUUUGAUAUUAUACUUUGGUUUAUUAGGACAGUGACCAGAUUAAAGGAGGUUAUGUUAUUUUCUUUCUCUGGACAUAUUUCAAUAUAUAGAAAUAAAAUGCUUACUGCUGAGACCAGCCUUCUAGAUUUUUUAGUCUGUAGUUAAAUUCUGAAGGCAUGUGGCAACACGCAAGUCAGUAGAGGAUAGGAAAAGGAGACAUUUUUAAAUAAAUUCUUCAAGUUUUCAGGAUCAUAUAUGUCUCAUACAUGUAAAACAAUUAUUAUUUCCUGUGUUUAACCCUAAUAGGUAGUUCAGCUUGGUCACUUCCAUGCAGCAGCAUGGCAGAGAGAAUUGGAAGGGUAAAAGUGAGAAAACUAAUGGGUAAAAUCUGAGCAUGCAAGCAAAGCCUGCACAGGAAAGCAGAGCUUCACCAAGAAUAAUGAUUACUUCAAAAUAAAAGCACCAUGUGUCUAAAUGUCACUCCUUUGUCCCUCUUUCCUCUCCUCCCCUCCAUUUUUUAUUACUCAGUACAACAUCUUAUGUCAUGAGAUAUCUCUUUCAUUAAUUAGGACAAACUCUCCUGGCUGUGUCCCCUGCCAACUCCCUGCCCACCCCAGCCUAGACACUGGAGGGGCAACAUGAGAAACAGAAAAGGCCUUGAUGCUACAUAAGCAGUGUUCAACAGUGUGUUAUCAACACAGUCUCAAUCACAUAUACCAAAUAUAGCAGCAUGCAAACUACUAUGAAGAAAGUUAACUCUAUCCCAGUCAAAAUCAGUACACUAUUUUUAAAAAUAAAAAAUUGGGGUCACCACUAUUUUAGCAAAUGGACAAAUUUCUGACAACUUUUUGCAAAGACUACAUGUUCUAAUAAAAAUUAAAAAGAAAUUUGGUAUCACAUUUUCUUCUGCCAGUAUUUGUACUGUUGCUUCUAGUAAGAGCCCUCCCCAUAACUUUCAGUCUUGUUCCAGGGCCCGUACAGACUGCUGUGAAGUCAAACCCUGUUUCAUGAGGUUUCCUGUUUAAGAACUAUUCUUCCAUUUUAAGAAUUAAUAAUAAUGACUGACUGAAAUGAAUUUGUAGCAAUCAUAUGCUUAAAGCUAUGCUAAGCUAUAAAAAUACCCAUCUAUUUGAGUACAUGAUAAGAGAUGGAUGGUGAUAGUAGGGUUUAGACAGACAGAAUCAGAAGAUUUAGACAGACAAAAUGGAAAGGUUUUUUAUGGCUUUUUUUUUUUUUUUUUUUUUUUUUUUUUUUUUUUUUUGCUUGUGUGAGAAAUAAGCCACUAACCAAAGGUUUAAUGUCUGCCAUUCAAUUACCACCUGCCUACCAGAAGUACACAUUCAUUUACUCUUAUUGAGUUGAUUCUUCAAGUGAAGAAAAGUUGAUUGAAAGUAUAUUACAUCAGAAUGGGAUGGAAAUCUUCCCUGACCUGAGUUGCAUAGGCUGAUUUCUCCUGUUGCACUGUAUCUAUGUGUCCCAUGAAUAGAAAGGGCUAUUUGGAGACCUGAACCUUAAGAAAUGAGGCAGGCAGAAGAUGCAGUAUAUGUGUAUGGAAGUAUAUAUUUAUAAUGUAUUCUUUCAGGUGGUGGUGGCAUGACUCCAUCCAGCUGCUACCUCCCCGAACAGUAGCUCACUCAUUCCCUGACAUUGAGAUUGAAGAGACAAUCAGAAACAUAAAAGUGAAAAAACUUGUGGGCUUAAAUAGACAAUUGAAUAAGUGAAACAAAGAUGCACACACAAAGAAGGCAAUUUAGUAGUUAAUUCACUAUUCCUGUUGAAAAUAGAUGUCCAGCUGCUUCCUGAGAAGCCAGGCCUCAGCACAUGUAAAGGCUGCUUGGGAAGACUGAGACCAUAGCACUGAGCAUCAGCUCUUCCUCCUCCUUUCAUUGAGUUUUCAUUGCUGAGCAGACACUGUAAGAUGAACUUCAUUAAAAGCUUUAAUCUAAAGCUCCACCAUGGGAAAUCUCACAGAGCUAAAAUGGGAGGUCUCCAAAGAGCUUUUCAUUUCAAACUCAGGGCCUGUAAUCUCAAGGCAAGGCUUUUCAGCAGCAAUGAACUUAAUUCAAGCAUUUUGUUCACAGUGGAUCAAUUACAGUAGUCAUUCACUAUAAAAGUUAGCAUUCAAAGAACAUUAAAGUAAUAAAUUAAAUGAACAGAUUCAAAUCUGCUCAUAAUCAGACUUCCCAUAUUUUGUUUAGCUGGGAUGCAGUUCUACAGUGUAACAUGAACAACGCUAGUGUAUUAAGGUCAGGGUAAAAAACGCAACACUGUGAAAAGACUUCAAGGGAUAAUGGUAGAAACACUACAGAAACUUAUCUAAAAGGAUAAAUGAAGUGGAAAAUGCAUGACUGUUGUCACUACAAAUGACAAGAAAGUGUCCUAGCUGAUAGGAUUUGAAGCUGUGGUUUGAGUAUGCCCACUUUUAUUUCUGAUACUGCUCUGCUGGGUGAGCUACCAGCUUGCUGUUCCUCCAUUUCCCUGUCCAUUGAAUAAGGUUAUGCUAUUUUUCCAAGAACAGUGUAAAUCUCCAGCAGAUAGCUAUUUCUCACAUAUCAAAACUCACAUUUCUACCAAAUCCUAAGUGAUCUUCCCAAAGGAUAGGAAGAAAAGAAAGUAAAAAAGAAAAAUUAACUUUAGUAGAAUUUCAAAGCAGACCAUAUCUGUCUUUUUGUAGACAUAUUAGGGUUUUUUGCUUUUGGAUUUCUUUUUGGCUUGUGCCAACUGGGCUGUUUUGUACUGUUCAGUGAAUGCAAAGUUCUUGUGUCUUUUAAUAUUUUUCUUGAAGGCAGAAUUUACAUUUUACAUAAGAUGAUAAUUUCUUUAUGAAAUCAUUUGCCAAAGUACAAUUUCUUGUAGAAAGUCAAAACAACAUCCAGUAUCUUGGGCCAAACAUACAUGCAAAUGGGGUGUGUGUAUUUUUAUGAGGAGAACAGUGUCUCAGCCUUCACCUCAUGCAGUAAAUUCACAGUAUUGCAUGUAGUGGAUGAGAUAAAGUAAAUGUGAAAUUCAUGCCUGUCCAGGUAUCAUGUAGAAUUAAGAAUCAAAUGUUUGAUUUUGUUUCUGUUAAUCAAAGCUCAAGCAGAUACAGGCUUUCCCCAGGACUGCAGAUUUCUUCCUUAGAACCUCUGAAGCAAAGCAUGCACCAACAGAAGCACAAGGGCAGAAAAGCAAUGGCCCUCUCUAUCCCCACAAGGCUAAAUUUUAAACUCAAAUAAAUUGCAUCUAUCAAAGUAUGGGCAGCAGCUUUGCAUAUGCUCUUUCAUCUCAGUGUAGCUUAUGGAUAUGGGGUCUCAGUGUUUAUUAACCCUUUUACUGUGCCAUCCCAUUUUCUAUGUGAGUGGUUUCAUAAUGCCUGUCUGUAAGCACAGUUUGUUUGAAGUAGCUGCCUAAGCUAAAUAACCUUACUAAAAGUGAAAGGAAAUUGGGUUGAUUUGGGAUAGUCUCCAUUCUCUCUUUUGUGCACUCUUCAUUACA